This 253-nucleotide ribosomal RNA is filed under the name uncultured bacterium. Its description in RNAcentral is "partial 16S ribosomal RNA". It matches the Rfam family "Bacterial small subunit ribosomal RNA", at positions 524 to 776 of the family's 1533-position model. The record is from RNAcentral.
GACGUAGGGCGCGAGCGUUGUCCGGAUUUAUUGGGCGUAAAGAGCUCGUAGGCGGUUUGUCGCGCCUGCUGUGAAAACUCGGGGCUUAACCCCGGGCCUGCAGUGGGUACGGGCAGACUAGAGUGCGGUAGGGGAGACUGGAAUUCCUGGUGUAGCGGUGAAAUGCGCAGAUAUCAGGAGGAACACCGGUGGCGAAGGCGGGUCUCUGGGCCGUAACUGACGCUGAGGAGCGAAAGCGUGGGGAGCGAACAGG